UACGGAGGGGACUAGCGUUGUUCGGAAUUACUGGGCGUAAAGCGCACGUAGGCGGAUUUGUAAGUCAGGGGUGAAAUCCCGGGGCUCAACCUCGGAACUGCCUUUGAUACUGCAAAUCUCGAGUCCGGAAGAGGUGAGUGGAAUUCCUAGUGUAGAGGUGAAAUUCGUAGAUAUUAGGAAGAACACCAGUGGCGAAGGCGGCUCACUGGUCCGGUACUGACGCUGAGGUGCGAAAGCUAGGGGAGCAAACGGG
RNAcentral lists this ribosomal RNA (253 nucleotides) under uncultured bacterium. RNAcentral's name for it is "partial 16S ribosomal RNA". It matches the Rfam family "Bacterial small subunit ribosomal RNA", at positions 524 to 776 of the family's 1533-position model. The record is from RNAcentral.